UACAGGGGGUGCAAGCGUUGUUCGGAAUCACUGGGCGUAAAGCGUACGCAGGCGGCUCGCAAGGUCGGGUGUGAAAUCCCGGGGCUCAACCCCGGAACUGCAUUCGAAACCGUCGAGCUUGAGUACGGGAGAGGAGAGCGGAAUUCCUGGUGUAGAGGUGAAAUUCGUAGAUAUCAGGAGGAACACCGGUGGCGAAAGCGGCUCUCUGGUCCGAUACUGACGCUCAUGUACGAGAGCGUGGGGAGCAAACAGG
RNAcentral lists this ribosomal RNA (253 nucleotides) under uncultured bacterium. RNAcentral describes it as "partial 16S ribosomal RNA". It matches the Rfam family "Bacterial small subunit ribosomal RNA", at positions 524 to 776 of the family's 1533-position model. The record is from RNAcentral.